CUAAAGGUGAGCGCCGGCUGCAGGGCGGAGGACUCUGGCCUCUGCGGGGCCGAGCCACGGAGCCACCUGGCUUGCGGGGAUCCCUGGGACCCAGCCUUGUUCUAUUCUAAUGGUGUUUGGUUUUGGAACCUGCAUUUCUUUGAAAAAGAGUGAGCAUGUGCAUUUUCCCAGAUGCCUGGUAUCCAACUGCACUUCUCCAUGUGUGCAUUGUCCCCUGAGCUGGCAAGAAGAUCCUACUAGUUGGUCUGCAUGCCAUGCCAGCUCGGCCUUGCACCCUGGGGGCCCAGGUAACUAGCUCUCACCAACAGAAAGAGAUGUGAUGGACAUCACCUGAGGCCAGACCCUAAGACCUCUGUGUGCCCCCUCCGUGUCUCCUGUCUGCAGCUGUUGUCCACACCAAGGGUGGCCUACAGAGGGAAGUGAGGACCUUGGGACUUCCUCCAGGACAGCCCUCGCUGUCCAAAUCUCCACCUGCUGCAGAGCUGCCUCCAGUCAAGCCCUUGUUUCCAGCUUUCUGUGCCCUAAAUAAACUUCUGCUGGGAUUGAGCCAUCAGCAUUCUGUGGUGGGCGUCGCUGCUGCGAGGUUGCCCUCGUGCACACAAGCUCCUCACAGGACUUCCAGGAUGAUAUGGAAGAGUGACUGAGAGCAGCCGCCCG
This 657-nucleotide long non-coding RNA is filed under the name Homo sapiens (human). RNAcentral describes it as "non-protein coding LINC02298:14". The record is from RNAcentral. Lineage: Eukaryota; Metazoa; Chordata; Mammalia; Primates; Hominidae.